RNAcentral lists this ribosomal RNA (484 nucleotides) under uncultured bacterium. RNAcentral's name for it is "partial 16S ribosomal RNA". It matches the Rfam family "Bacterial small subunit ribosomal RNA", at positions 30 to 507 of the family's 1533-position model. The record is from RNAcentral.
AUUGAACGCUGGCGGCAGGCCUAACACAUGCAAGUCGAGCGGAGGAAUGGAGCUUGCUCCUGGAUUCAGCGGCGGACGGGUGAGUAAUGCCUAGGAAUCUGCCUGGUAGUGGGGGAUAACGUCCGGAAACGGGCGCUAAUACCGCAUCCGUCCUGUGGGAGAAAGAGGGGGAUCUUCGGACCUCACGCUAUCAGGUGAGCAUAGGUCGGAUUAGCUAGUUGGUGGGGUAAAGGCCUACCAAGGCGACGAUCCGUAACUGGUCUGAGAGGAAGAUCAGUCACACUGUCACUGAGACACGGUCCAGACUCCUACGGGGAGACGCAGUGGGGAAUAUUGGACAAUGGGCGAAAGCGUGAUACAGCAAUGCCGGGUGUGGGCAGAAGGUCUUCGGAUGGUAAAGCACUUUAAGUUUGGAGGAAGUGCAGUACGUUAAUACCUUGCUGUUUUGACGUUACCAACAGAAUAAGCACCGGCUAACUUCGUG